This 484-nucleotide ribosomal RNA is filed under the name uncultured bacterium. RNAcentral describes it as "partial 16S ribosomal RNA". It matches the Rfam family "Bacterial small subunit ribosomal RNA", at positions 29 to 507 of the family's 1533-position model. The record is from RNAcentral.
AUUGAACGCUGGCGGCAUGCUUUACACAUGCAAGUCGAACGGCAGCGCGGGCUUCGGCCUGGCGGCGAGUGGCGAACGGGUGAGUAAUACAUCGGAACGUGCCCAGUAGUGGGGGAUAGCUCGGCGAAAGCCGGAUUAAUACCGCAUACGACCUGAGGGUGAAAGCGGGGGAUCUUCGGACCUCGCGCUAUUGGAGCGGCCGAUCGCAGAUUAGCUAGUUGGUGGGGUAAAGGCCUACCAAGGCGACGAUCUGUAGCUGGUCUGAGAGGACGACCAGCCACACUGGGACUGAGACACGGCCCAGACUCCUACGGGAGGCAGCAGUGGGGAAUUUUGGACAAUGGGCGAAAGCCUGAUCCAGCAAUGCCGCGUGUGUGAUGAAGGCCUUCGGGUUGUAAAGCACUUUUGGCGGGAACGAAAAGGACUGUGCCAAUACCACGGUUCGAUGACGGUACCCGCAGAAUAAGCACCGGCUAACUACGUG